RNAcentral lists this ribosomal RNA (497 nucleotides) under uncultured bacterium. RNAcentral's name for it is "partial 16S ribosomal RNA". It matches the Rfam family "Bacterial small subunit ribosomal RNA", at positions 28 to 507 of the family's 1533-position model. The record is from RNAcentral.
GAUGAACGCUGGCGGCGUGCCUAAUACAUGCAAGUCGAGCGAACAGACGAGGCACUUGCUCCUCUGACUUUAGCGGCGCACGCGUGAGUAACAUGUGGAUAACAUACCUAUAAGACUGGGAUAACUUCCGGAAACCGGAGCUAAAACCCGAUAAUCUAUUCAACACCAUGGCUCAAUAGUUAAAGACGGUUUUGCUGUGACUUAUACCUGAAUGCGCGCGGCAUUAGCUAGUUGGUAAGGUAACGGCUUACCAAGGCAACGAUGCGUAGCAGACCUGAGAGGGUGACCGGCCACACUGGAACUGAGACACGGUCCAGACUCCUACGGGAGGCAGCAGUAGGGAAUCUUCCGCAAUGGGCGAAAGCUUGACGGAGCAAUGCCGCGUGAGUGAUGAAGGCCUUCGGGUUGUAAAGUUCUGUUAUCAGGGAGGAACAAAGGUGUAUGUAACUAUGCACGCAUUGACGGUACCUACACAGAAAGCCCCGGCUAACUACGUG